Molecule: ribosomal RNA, 466 nt
Filed under: uncultured bacterium
Lineage: Bacteria
Description: bacterial SSU rRNA
Rfam family: Bacterial small subunit ribosomal RNA
Source: RNAcentral
AUUGAACGCUGGCGGCAUGCCUUACACAUGCAAGUCGAACGGCAGCACGGGGGCAACCCUGGUGGCGAGUGGCGAACGGGUGAGUAACAUAUCGGAACAUACCCUAGAGUGGGGGAUAACGUAGCGAAAGUUACGCUAAUACCGCAUACGAUCUAAGGAUGAAAGUGGGGGAUCUUCGGACCUCAUGCUCAUGGAGUGGCCGAUAUCUGAUUAGCUAGUUGGUGAGGUAAAGGCUCACCAAGGCGACGAUCAGUAGCUGGUUUGAGAGAACGACCAGCCACACUGGAACUGAGACACGGCCCAGACUCCUACGGGAGGCAGCAGUGGGAAUAUUGGACAAUGGGCGAAAGCCUGAUCCAGCAAUGCCGCGUGAGUGAUGAAGGCCUUAGGGUUGUAAAGCUCUUUUACCCGGGAUGAUAAUGACAGUACCGGGAGAAUAAGCCCCGGCUAACCGUCCGUGCCAGCA